GGAAUCUUGCGCAAUGCGCGACAGCGUGACGCAGCAACACCGCGUGGGGGAAGAAGGCCUUCGGGUUGUAAACCCCUUUCAGGAGGGACGAAGGCCGGCCGGUGAAUAGCCGUGCCGGUUGACGGUACCUCCAGAAGAAGCCCCGGCUAACUACGUGCCCGCAGCCGCGGUAAUACGUAGGGGGCAAGCGUUGUCCGGAAUCAUUGGGCGUAAAGCGCGCGUAGGCGGCCCGAUAAGUCCGCUGUGAAAGUCAACGGCUCAACUGUUGAAUGCCGGUGGAUACUGUCGGGCUAGAGUCCGGAAGAGGCAAGUGGAAUUCCUGGUGUAGCGGUGGAAUGCGCAGAUAUCAGGAGGAACACCUAUAGCGAAGGCAGCUUGCUGGGACGGUACUGACGCUAAGGCGCGAAAGCGUGGGGAGCGAAC
This 423-nucleotide ribosomal RNA is filed under the name uncultured bacterium. RNAcentral describes it as "bacterial SSU rRNA". It matches the Rfam family "Bacterial small subunit ribosomal RNA", at positions 358 to 773 of the family's 1533-position model. The record is from RNAcentral.